CACCAGGUCAGGACACGGUAAGGAUUGACGGACUGAAGGCUCUUUCUCGAUUCCGUGGAAAGUGGUGCAUGGCCGUUUUGGUUGGUGGAUCGAUCCGUCUGGUUAAUUCCGUUAACGAACGAGACCUCGGCACUCCGAAUAGCGCGGCGGACGUCGCGGCCUCCGGGCCGUCUUCCGCACGAGCUUCUUAGAGGGACCGUCCCCCGCCGGGGAAGGAGGUGCGAGGCAACGACAGGUCUGUGAUGCCCUUAGAUGUUCUGGGCCGCACGCGCAUUACACUGACGCGUCCAACGGGUGACUCCCGACCCGAAGGGGCCGGGGAAUCCGCAAGGCGCGUCGUGAUGGGGAUUGAACGUUGCAAUUGUUGUUCACGAACGAGGAAUUCCUAGUAGGCGCGGGUCAUCAACCCGCGCCGAUUACGUCCCUGCCCUUUGUACACACC
This 442-nucleotide ribosomal RNA is filed under the name uncultured eukaryote. RNAcentral describes it as "bacterial SSU rRNA". It matches the Rfam family "Eukaryotic small subunit ribosomal RNA", at positions 1216 to 1670 of the family's 1831-position model. The record is from RNAcentral.